This is a non-coding RNA of Malus domestica (apple), 2125 nucleotides long. NCBI's taxonomy places the organism in Eukaryota, Viridiplantae, Streptophyta, Magnoliopsida, Rosales, Rosaceae. The record is from RefSeq and is a predicted model, not a curated record.
AAUGUAAGAUAAACUUACACAGACGGAGUUAUGUUAGAAUUGAACCCCAAAAAAAAAAGAAAAAAAGAAAAGAAAAAGGUUAGAAGUAGUUCCAAGCUCUUUAAAGAUUUCAAAUGCUAUAUGAUGUCUGCUUCUUUGGCUGAAUUGUUGUUGUUCUUAUGUAUUUGGCACAUAGAUUGUAUGCUUAUUGCCUACUGAUUUGUUAAUUUUGAUAAUGCUGAGUUGUCGCAUUCUGUGGUCAUUUCAGGAAGUGUGGUAGAAUGCAACAAUUGAGCAUUAUCAAAUUUAUGAUCUGACAAAUGGUUUUAGCAGUAGUUGUACUUAUCAUGCUUGGCAACCAGGAAAAGGAAACAUUGGUGUUCGAAUUUUGCAGCUACAUGUCAAGAUGCAAGCAAAGGCUAUGCAGGUGUGUUCCUGUUAAUUGCAAUUUCAUUACAUUCAAUGUCCAGAUAUUCUUAAUUCCAACAAUUGAUUUCAUGUAAUUGAAAUUUUGUUACAUUCAAUGUGCAUGUAUUCUCAUUUGCUAAUUUACUUAUCAAUCGCCAUUUUCCAUUGAUUAAUGCUCAUCAUCUGCAAACCCCAUUGCCCCUGUAUCUUAAAGUUUUUCUCUUUCUUCUUUCCCCCUCAUUUGGGUGCAUAUAAAUUUGGCUAAUUGUCAUUUUUAUUUACUUACGCUACUUUAGUUUACAUUCUAGCCCAUUCAGUCAAUUGCUUUCCCAAAAUAAUUGUAUUUUAAGUAAAAAUUAUUGGGUUGGUUAGAAUUUCAAUUUGGGUUUUGAUUUUUAUGCAUUCAAACUUUCAGUCCACAGUUGAGAGACAAGGAAAAGUUUAGGGUUUUUGUUUGGCCAUAAUUGACGAAGUAAAGGCACGCAAUCAAAGAUAUGGUGGUGCGCGAAUCACCUAGAAACUAAUAACAGCUUUGAUCUUCCACAGGACUACUCUCUGUUGCUUCUGAAAGAUCUCCAUCUCGAUGUGAAUAGGGUUUAUUCAAUCUGUGUGGAUUACCCAGGUGUUGAAUUUGAUAGAUAAUGUGACUUUUGAGAUGGCAGAGUUUUUGAAAUUGUGUUUUUGGCAUGUCUGAACCUGAAUGAUGCAGCCUUUGAUCUUUCAAAUGGAAGGGUUGUCGAUGAGAUAUUCAGGUGUCGUUAUCAUUCUUAGCCUUCUUUAUUUCAAAACUACCUUAACCUCAAGCUCACCUGCAAGUUCCUGCUCACCAGGAAAUAGCUUUGUCCAGCAAGGAAAUACCUCUUCGCAACCAACUCAAUCCAACAAAACUUUUACUGCUCUUAAAAACAUUAUCUGCUCAAUGAAUAUCCAGCUACUUCAGUCCUUUGCUGAAGUCUACAAUUGAGUAGAACCAAUGUCGAGUAUCAAUGGUGAAGAAGAUCUCGAUGAAUGAAAGGAGAUUAGAGUCUCGAUUCUUAUUCCUUGAAGGCGGUGCUCAACCUACGAUAAGGGUUUAAUGAAGAUUCUCGAAUGAGGUUGGUUGAGACCAAAAAAAUGGCCUCUUGAAUUUUGAAUUGUGAUUGGAAAUUGGAGUAUAGCAGGUGGACUUAAAAGACAUCAAGUAUGCAGGGGAAUGGUAGGAUUAUCAUUUUAGAGGUACCAGACUAGCUUACCAUGGAGCUUAUAAUAGUCUAAUUGAUGCUGAAAUCUUAUUUGGCCAAUUUGCUGGAACUACAGUGUUUUUACCGAGAAUCUCUUUAAAGACCACAGAAAGCACUGGACUCCCAUGUGAACUGGUGCGAAAACAGUUUCCUGUGAAAUUGAGUUUUGCACUAACCAUGUUGUGUACGAAGAUAUUUUGCUUCCAUCAAAUAUACGAUAAGGCUACAUUCAUUAUGAUGUUUAAUUCACUUUUCAAAUCUAUGUAGAUAUACAUCUAAAUUGUAUAAGUCGCGCAUAGAACGCUGUAAGUAUAAAAGAGCCUUCCGCAUGCGCAUGAGCGAGUGCAUGGAGGCUAGUUUGUAUAGUAUGAACAAACAAGUACUAUUUCGUUGGAAUACUAUCAAUUUGGACAACAUAUCAAAUAAAAAGUGCACACCAUCAAGGGUCUAGUUUGACAACGUACUUGACAAUAUAACGUGUCAGACCAUCUAAAUAAAGAUGAUUUCCCUACAAAUCU